GGGCGGUUGGCUUUGCAGUAGAGCGCUGACUUCACACGGCACAGGUCACUGGUUCGGCCCCAGUACCGCCCA
RNAcentral lists this transfer RNA (72 nucleotides) under Actinomycetota bacterium. RNAcentral describes it as "tRNA-Val". It matches the Rfam family "tRNA". From Rfam's summary of the family: Transfer RNA (tRNA) molecules are approximately 80 nucleotides in length. Their secondary structure includes four short double-helical elements and three loops (D, anti-codon, and T loops). The record is from RNAcentral. Lineage: Bacteria; Bacillati; Actinomycetota.